UACGCAGGUUGCAAGCGUUACUCGGAAUUACUGGGCGUAAAGCGUGCGUAGGUGGUUUGUUAAGUCUGUUGUGAAAGCCCCGGGCUCAACCUGGGAAUGGCAAUGGAUACUGGCAAGCUAGAGUGCGGUAGAGGGUAGUGGAAUUCCCGGUGUAGCGGUGAAAUGCGUAGAGAUCGGGAGGAACACCAGUGGCGAAGGCGGCUACCUGGACCAGCACUGACACUGAGGCACGAAAGCGUGGGGAGCAAACGGG
This 253-nucleotide ribosomal RNA is filed under the name uncultured bacterium. Its description in RNAcentral is "partial 16S ribosomal RNA". It matches the Rfam family "Bacterial small subunit ribosomal RNA", at positions 524 to 776 of the family's 1533-position model. The record is from RNAcentral.